ACUGCUCAGCAUGAAAUUGCCAGAAUUAAAAGUUUGUUUGAAUAGAGAACAAUUUGAUUCUCAGAAAACGUUAAAGAAUGGAGUUACUGAAAGUGAAAUGACUGUGAGCGAGUCAGAACUCAGUGAUGAUGGCUUGAGUAUUAGCAGUCGUGAAACACCUAAUAAAAAUGGUCCAGAAGAGAAGAGAUAUUUUUUCGCAAAUUUCUGAUCAAGAAAAUGGUGAUACAGCUGAUUUACCAGCUAGUCAGCAGAUAAGGCCUAAAGAUACAGAUGAUAUAUUACAAUCAGAAGAUAUUCAAACUAAUAAUACAGAUAAUAAUCGUGCUGAAAGUAAUGAAAAUAUUGAAAGACGAAAUCCUAUUUUGAAUCAGAAUUACCAAACUAAUUUAUCAGACAAUCCUGAUAAAGCACGUAGACAACCAUUAAUACGUUCUCAUGAAACAGAUGAUCCUCCGUUAGCACAUGGCAGUCAAACAAAAAAUCCAAACACUUCUGAUUCUAAAAAUUUAAGGAAUUCAGGAAGACAAAGACAUAAUCAACCUCAAGUCAUUAUUACAACUUUGAAUAAUAAAAGUUACAAAACUAGAGGAGACAGUAUCAAAUUAAUCAUUGCUUGCUGUGAGUACUAUAUACGAGAGGGUUCACCAGGAGUAGAAGAUCGCAGGAGACGGUAUCAAGUUACGGGCGACCUGGUUUGCUAACAAAAUAUCCACUACUAUUAAUUGUUGAAUUAUUUUCUUUUUUAUGUAUUCUUAAAACUAAUUUUUCCAAACUAUGCUUUGAUUUUAAACUAUUUUACCUAACCUCUUAUUUUUUUCUUUCAUACAAAAAUUAUUCUGUAACAAAUGUGAUUUAUAGAUUUACCUGGGUGAAGGACUUAGUAUAACUAGCGUAGGCUUCAAUUAUAUGUGUAAACAGCCAAUAAAACCAUUUUUAAGAUGGCUCGCACUCGAGAUUUGGGGACAUGAAACUCUAAUGAAUAGAGCUUUGCAGAUUGAACGAGUGAAUAAAAAUAGUUAUCUUCCUGGAAGAUCACCUUCUAAACAAAUUGAAGACGAACUACUGAGAUUAUUUAUAAGCAUUUUCCAUGACUAUACUGAAAAAAGAACAGAUUUACUAUUAGAGGAACGUACAGAAUCAUUACACAAUAUAACAGUGGAAUUAUCUUUGAUUAUAAGAGACUUGAGAACAGACUAUAGAAAGAAUUACGCCAAAAGGAGAUUGUAGAAAUAAAAAAAUUCAAUUAUUUUUAUUGAACUUAUGUAAACACCGUAAAUUGUCAAAUGUAAGCGUAGUGCGAAUUCAUUACACAAGAUACGUUGGAACUGAUUUUUGAUGUACACAAAAAUUAUUUUAAGUUUCUCGCUGUGUACCUACACACUACAGUUUAAUACUUUUUGAAAACUUAAGAUAAAUAUAAUUUAUUUUAUUUUUAUGGCAAUUUA
This is an RNA transcript of Nasonia vitripennis (jewel wasp), 1445 nucleotides long. RefSeq lists it as uncharacterized. Lineage: Eukaryota; Metazoa; Arthropoda; Insecta; Hymenoptera; Pteromalidae. The record is from RefSeq and is a predicted model, not a curated record. The transcript has 6 exons.